UUUGAGUGUAUAUAAAUAUAUAAUAAUUUUACAAUGAAAAAUAAGUCAAGUUAAGUUGAGUAGAAAUUUCUGCUCGUAUUUGAGAAGAAGGAUUUUUUCUUGCUCUUAUCUCUUAUCUCUUAGGUGGAUUUUCUGCGAGAGAAGAAUGUUGUUCAACCAUUGCAUUGGUAGAUUCCAUAUAAUGGUGAAUAUGCUCGAGUUCGAUGUGAUGGAUUCUACGGUGAGUCGAGUGUUUAUUGAGUUGUGUUUGUUCUAUCUCCG
RNAcentral lists this long non-coding RNA (261 nucleotides) under Ananas comosus (pineapple). RNAcentral describes it as "long non-coding RNA (ACOM_LNC040214)". Lineage: Eukaryota; Viridiplantae; Streptophyta; Magnoliopsida; Poales; Bromeliaceae. The record is from RNAcentral.